RNAcentral lists this unclassified non-coding RNA (331 nucleotides) under plant metagenome. RNAcentral's name for it is "partial contains small subunit ribosomal RNA, internal transcribed spacer 1, and 5.8S ribosomal RNA". The record is from RNAcentral.
UUUCCGUAGGUGAACCUGCGGAAGGAUCAUUAUUGAAUUACUUGAUGGGUUGUUGCUGGCUCCUUGGAGCAUGUGCACGCCUAUCUUGACCUCUACACAUCCACCUGUGAACUAUUUGUAGUCUUGGGGGCUGUAAAUGGCUGACUGUCAGGGAAUGUAAUUCCCGGAUGUUGAGGACUGCAGUGCGAAAGCACUGCUUUUCCUCUACUGGUCAUGAACCCAUGUCUAUGUAUUUAUUGAUACACCACAUAGUAUGUUGUAGAAUGCAUGAGAUGGGCGUUUGUUCCUAUAGAACUAUAUACAACUUUCAGCAACGGAUCUCUUGGCUCUC